GCCUCCAUAGUUCAAUGGAUAGAGCAUCAGCCUCCGAAGCUGGUGAUGUGGGUUCGACUCCCGCUGGAGGCA
This 72-nucleotide transfer RNA is filed under the name Elusimicrobia bacterium RIFOXYA2_FULL_40_6. Its description in RNAcentral is "tRNA-Arg". It matches the Rfam family "tRNA". From Rfam's summary of the family: Transfer RNA (tRNA) molecules are approximately 80 nucleotides in length. Their secondary structure includes four short double-helical elements and three loops (D, anti-codon, and T loops). The record is from RNAcentral. Lineage: Bacteria; Pseudomonadati; Elusimicrobiota. RNAcentral also lists the same sequence under 1 other name.